RNAcentral lists this long non-coding RNA (2439 nucleotides) under Neodiprion pinetum (white pine sawfly). Its description in RNAcentral is "uncharacterized LOC124217042". The record is from RNAcentral. Lineage: Eukaryota; Metazoa; Arthropoda; Insecta; Hymenoptera; Diprionidae.
UCGUGUUCGAGCAAGGAAGUCGACUGGCGACUGCUUCGUGUGGAAUAAAAACAGACCGCAUAUUGGUUCCCGUCUAAUUACAAGAAUUGCAAAUUGUUUUAUUGCCGAGGUAUACCUUCGUUUUUUGAUCUAUGAUCGGUUGGCUGGUGUAUAAACUCGACGGUGCAUUGACAGAGACAACAAGUCCGAAACUCUAACCAACAAGCGACUCGCUUAUACGAUGUCGAUUCAGAUUACGAUUUGACUAUUGCUGACAAUAGAUGCGGUCGUCUCAUUGCGAGCUACGGUAAUUGGAUUUCCCACGAGAAAUGUGAUCACUUGAAGUUCUUCUUCUUCUUCUUCUUCUCAGCGCUAUCGCGGCAUUGCGAGAAGGAACAAGUAGCAAUUCGACUUGAAUGCAAUCCAUUUCCGACAGCUAGGAGAAACUUCAUCGCUCAUUGACCGACGGAACUGUGGAUAUUACUUGGUCAAAGUCUACUCUGCUGCACCUGCUAACGAGCCUGGAUACCUACACUGAAAUCUGAGAAGAGGAGUCGAUCCCUCGUUGUUUUACGUUGACAUUGGACGCUGUGUGGACCGUUAGACAACCUGGGCUCAAAACGCGAAGACCGACUCCCGUUGUAGCAGCACCCGACUUUCAUCUCCAGCGACCCCGUGGUCGAAGCGCUGCAAUCCAUACAUCAGAAGCCACUGCUACAUUCUUAGUGGUAUACCGUGCACAUGCAUGGUGCUCAUAACGCCGAGGAGUAGGAGCAAGCCACCGGGUACGGUUAAGCCCAUUACACAAUGUGACGUGAACGUAGGGAAUAUGAGAAUACUAUAGUACAUGUAUUGAUAGAAAUGGUACAAGACCCGAGAGUCUUGUUGCAGUUGCGAACAAUCAACUUGCUCGCAUCUAACGUAGUUUCAAGGAGUACGUACUCGCGACGUCGCCAUGGUAGCCGCCAAUCGAACAUUUGCUUUCAGACGAAUCGUUAUUCCGUCUAAAUUUAUCAAGAUAUGUAAAGGUAAAAAAUCUCAAGUAAAAUUGAAGAAAGAAAUAAUUAGUUCGACGAACGAUCAAAACUUCAUCCACAUCUAUAUGGGUCGACAACGAAAAGAACCUCUGGGUUUUCUCAGCGGCUGCAGCGAACGAUAUCGAUAAGAGGACUGUAUACAUGUCGAUAUGUGAAUGGAUAUGGACUUAAAGAUGAUAGAUAUGUAUACUGUGUAUAGAUAUAUAGCAACACGGGCACGGGUAAGCGGAUAAGUAGAGUGUAUUUGGCGUGGGUGUUACGAAACGAUUUCGUUACCCAAGAUCUCGUGUCCGGCGCGGCUCGGUUUCUCUUUGUUCCGCUGGCUUGUUUCUGAAUAUUUUAUACACUUUAGACGAUCUAGCCUCUGCAGAGCUUCCCGCUUCAGCUUGGCUCCGCCAUCCUCCUCCUCCUCCUCCUCCUCCGACUCCUUCUUUAUUCUUCCUUUUCCUAAGCUGCCUGCCUGCCUCCAUCGACCUGACUUCUUCGUCCAGCCGCAAGUGACGUUACGAGUCACUGUUCACGGUAGGAAUACACCUACAUGGCGAUUGUAUACAUAGGUGUAUGUGGAUAAGAAACGGACCAGUUGGUCUCCACGAAAAGAAUCGAUCUUUAAAAUUACACCUUAACGAUGUGUAAUGGAUCUCAACAUUUACCUCAUAUUUUCGACUUGUUUUGAACCUUUAUUUAUUGUGGUCGUAGGAAGACACCGAGACCAUAAACGUGGCACGAAGUACCAUUUUCGUCUACUGGUCAAAUCGACCGUAAAACGGGAUGAUGGAAGGGUACUAUUGACGAAAGUAUCGACCAUUCUGAAACAAAUGUCAGACAAUCAGUGUAAUAUUGUUUUUUUCUUUUCUUUAAUUUGUUACUUGUUGCCAGCGUGAAAGUUUUGGGCAAAACCCUUUCAAUGGAAGCAUCCAUUCGUAUACUUGAUGAAAUUUCCACAUAGGAAAUGGUUUUUAGGACCGUUGUGACAGUGAAAAGUAGCAGUUUGUCACAAGAUUGACAAAAAAGAAUCUCCUGGUUUUUCGAUUCAAGUUCUUUGGGAAUGAUUGGCAGAUUACUGAGAGCACCGAUCUUCCUGCAACUGCGCUAUACUUUCAAAUAAAUUUUAUCGUUUAACUGACAUUUGGAAGCCUGCUUACAAUACAAAUUGCAUGAGUCACUCGAAAUUGACCACUCUGCAGGUUCCACGUACCUACCCACCAAUACCUAUACCUACUGUUACAUGUUCUGCACGCCUGUGCCUUUCAUCGUAGCGGCUUCAUACUUGUUGAAGGAAUUAAUCAGCAUUCACGGUUCGCGCAACCCAACAAAAACAACGUAACAAAAGCAACAACAAUGACGACGAUCUCGGGUGAAUCACGAAUAAAGUAAGCGAAGUAAGCGAUCGUCAUGACGUAUUCGUCAAUCAUUACUGUCA